RNAcentral lists this ribosomal RNA (253 nucleotides) under uncultured bacterium. Its description in RNAcentral is "partial 16S ribosomal RNA". It matches the Rfam family "Bacterial small subunit ribosomal RNA", at positions 524 to 776 of the family's 1533-position model. The record is from RNAcentral.
UACGAAGGGGGCUAGCGUUGUACGGAAUUACUGGGCGUAAAGCGCGCGCAGGCGGUUCUCCAAGUCAGUGGUGAAAGCCCGGAGCUCAACUCCGGAACUGCCAUUGAAACUGUUGAACUUGAGGACGAGAGAGGUGAGUGGAAUUCCCAGUGUAGAGGUGAAAUUCGUAGAUAUUGGGAAGAACACCAGUGGCGAAGGCGGCUCACUGGCUCGUUUCUGACGCUCAGGCGCGAUAGCGUGGGGAUCAAACAGG